RNAcentral lists this ribosomal RNA (456 nucleotides) under uncultured bacterium. RNAcentral describes it as "bacterial SSU rRNA". It matches the Rfam family "Bacterial small subunit ribosomal RNA", at positions 340 to 786 of the family's 1533-position model. The record is from RNAcentral.
UACGGAAGGCAGCAGUGGGGAAUAUUGCACAAUGGGCGAAAGCCUGAUGCAGCUAUGCCGCGUGUAUGAAGAAGGCCUUAGGGUUGUAAAGUACUUUCAUCGGGGAGGAAAAACAAAACUAAUAAUUUUAUUUCUUGACGUUACCCGAAAAAGAAGCACCGGCUAACUCCGUGCCAGCAGCCGCGGUAAUACGGAGGGUGCUAGCGUUAAUCAGAAUUACUGGGCGUAAAGAGCACGUAGGUGGUUUUUUUAAGUCAGAUGUGAAAUCCCUGGGCUUAAACCUGGAAACUGCAUUUUGAAACUGAAAUACUAGAGUAUCGUAGAGGGAGGUAGAAUUCUAGGUGUAGCGGUGAAAUGCGUAGAUAUCUGGAGGAAUACCUGUGGCGAAAGCGGCCUCCUAAACGAAUACUGACACUGAGGUGCGAAAGCGUGGGGAGCAAACAGGGAUUAGAUACC